RNAcentral lists this ribosomal RNA (568 nucleotides) under uncultured bacterium. Its description in RNAcentral is "partial 16S ribosomal RNA". It matches the Rfam family "Bacterial small subunit ribosomal RNA", at positions 355 to 914 of the family's 1533-position model. The record is from RNAcentral.
UGGGGAAUAUUGGACAAUGGGCGCAAGCCUGAUCCAGCCAUACCGCGUGGGUGAAGAAGGCCUUCGGGUUGUAAAGCCCUUUUGUUGGGAAAGAAAUCCAGCUGGUUAAUACCCGGUUGGGAUGACGGUACCCAAAGAAUAAGCACCGGCUAACUUCGUGCCAGCAGCCGCGGUAAUACGAAGGGUGCAAGCGUUACUCGGAAUUACUGGGCGUAAAGCGUGCGUAGGUGGUCGUUUAAGUCUGUUGUGAAAGCCCUGGGCUCAACCUGGGAACUGCAGUGGAAACUGGACGACUAGAGUGUGGUAGAGGGUAGCGGAAUUCCUGGUGUAGCAGUGAAAUGCGUAGAGAUCAGGAGGAACAUCCAUGGCGAAGGCAGCUACCUGGACCAACACUGACACUGAGGCACGAAAGCGUGGGGAGCAAACAGGAUUAGAUACCCUGGUAGUCCACGCCCUAAACGAUGCGAACUGGAUGUUGGGUGCAAUUUGGCACGCAGUAUCGAAGCUAACGCGUUAAGUUCGCCGCCUGGGGAGUACGGUCGCAAGACUGAAACUCAAAUGAAUUGAC